Molecule: small nuclear RNA, 107 nt
Organism: Ailuropoda melanoleuca (giant panda)
Lineage: Eukaryota; Metazoa; Chordata; Mammalia; Carnivora; Ursidae
Source: Ensembl
GUGCUCACUUCAACAGCACAUAUACCAAAAUUGGAACAAUCCAGAGAAGAUUAGCAUGGCCCCUGUGCAAGGAUGACAUGCAAAUUUGUGAAGCAUUCCAUGUUUUU